This 136-nucleotide small RNA is filed under the name Acinetobacter baumannii. Its description in RNAcentral is "partial 6S RNA". It matches the Rfam family "6S / SsrS RNA", at positions 1 to 138 of the family's 187-position model. From Rfam's summary of the family: E. coli 6S RNA was the first non coding RNA to be sequenced, but its function was unknown until recently. It consists of 184 nucleotides that fold into an extended hairpin structure with a large single-stranded internal bulge. The 6S RNA specifically associates with RNA polymerase holoenzyme containing the sigma70 specificity factor. Lineage: Bacteria; Pseudomonadati; Pseudomonadota; Gammaproteobacteria; Moraxellales; Moraxellaceae. The record is from RNAcentral.
CUGUCUCUGGGAUGUUCGCCAGCCGGUCUGAUUCCCCUGAGCCGAUAUCAUCUCUUUAGGAUGGUGUUCUGCAUAUUUAGAGCGUAUGCCUACCCCGAGUAGGAAACCCAGCAAGUAUGCGUCACCUCCACCUUGA